Molecule: non-coding RNA, 2215 nt
Organism: Zootermopsis nevadensis
Lineage: Eukaryota; Metazoa; Arthropoda; Insecta; Blattodea; Termopsidae
Source: RefSeq, a predicted model, not a curated record
AAGACCCUGCGUGUCCACGUGGCGCGUAAACUGCUCUAAGGCAUGCCGACUGAUCACGUCAACCAACAUUCUAUCCGCAGUAUUUAUCUUACAGGCAAAGCUCUCGCCUUUUUAUACAACUAUCAUAAAUUAGCAUUGCGGCAGGUGCAUUGAAAAAAACGCCAACAGUGUUAAUCUUAAUUCCCCACUUGUUUUGCACGGCUGUCAAACUGGCACUCAGAAACAGUGCACUCGACCAGCCAAACGCGGAAGGUAAUAUGCCAUCCUGAGUGGCUAACUCAACGAUCUACAGUCUACAGCUUCUCCCAUCAACCGGGAUUACAGUGUGCGUGAUUCCGUUCAAUGCGUACUGUUUCGUGUGUCAAUAUCUUUGUCAAGGACCUACCCGUAAAUUACACUACUAAUUCAGAGCAUCUAAGCCACUGUUCGACCAGCUGUGACGUAAGGUAAUGUGUAUAAAUAACAAGAGGAAAGGCCACAUGUUAGCAUCAAAUUAUGGCAUUAAUAUAUCACUCAAGGAACAAAGAGAGUACGGAGUUGUUUAAAGGUUUAAUAUCACAGUAAUUUUAAGUAAGACCCCCGACUAAAAGUUAAUUUAACUGGAAGAAGCUCAAGCUAAGUAAAACAGUACAAAAUAUUAACUUCUUCAAUCAUCCUUUAUGGCAGUGAAGAUUGGGAACUGAAACAACUGAUUAAAGUAGAUUAUGAGCAGCAAUAUUUCUGCAUAUAACGGAAAGAUAAACUCCUCUUAAAUAGGUACAAGACGGACAAAUUUUAGAUACACUCAAAGAGUGCAUGCAGAAUUUUGUUGGAAAAUCAAGAAGCAGAUGGGAGGAUAACAUCAAGAUGGAUCUUAGGUGGAUGCUAAAGUAGCUACGUCUACGGAGUACAGACUUUCAUCAGAAGCUGCUAGUAACUCACUUGGCCAUGGAAAUAUUAGGUCUUUAUUGAAACUACGGGUUCAUUACUGUGUUUACAAUAUUCUGAACUAGGUCAGUUCCGUCUACAUCAUCAUAUUAUAUUUAGCCUAUGAAAAAUCUAUUUUAAUAUUAUCCUCCAAAUUACAUGACAAAAAUUAUUGUGUACAUAUACACGUCUCAUCAAUCCAUACAUGCUAUACUUUCCCGCUAUCCCAUAAUUCCUGAUUUUAUUAUAGCAAUAACCUAAUCUAAGAUUUUGCCAGCAGAGUUGUUUAAUUAGGAUAUGCAUAAGAAUAUUUAGGACCAUUUGUCCUCUUACAGAUAAAUAAGUUUUAUAUCCGGUAAAGAAAAUCAGUGCAAAAUUGAUGUAGCAAUUGAUACUUAAAAAGAAGAAAAUCCUCUCAGGUGCCAUCUAUCAUCUCAAAAGUCUGGAUCCUUUCAAUCCGCUCCAGUUCUGUUCUUAUUUCACUACACUUCUAAUUUUUCUGUUACAAACAGAACACUACGGGCAGAAUUGUUUCUGAUAACUGAUCAAUAUAAGAGAAUGUCGAUUGUGGCCUUCUGGGUCGUCGACUUGUAGGCGUUCACCAACGUUUCUGAAAAACGAAUUACUCCCACCUCCGUCCCACUUAACCCUGAUAAUGGAAUCAAUAAGUUCCUCCGAAACAUUAGUAAGAGCCAACAAGACCACACGACGUGCCGAUGCAGAAGAGCAAAAUCGAUUCCCUUAGCGCCAUGUGCAGUUAAAACCUCAGACAGUGUAGUCUAAAUAAAGUCUAAUUCAUAGGCUCGAAAAUAAAAAACAGUUACUGGCCAAUACAGCCUGUUAAAAAACUGAAGAAUAACAUACAAACAGUAAACACAUUGCUCUUUUUCAAUGGAACUUUCCCUCGUGAAAUUCAUGUUAUCUAAACAUGAUACAAUUUUUGAAAUGCUACAUCAACAUUUGAUACUGUUUAUAAUUCCACAUACUAAAGAGUUGAGUCUCUACGUGAAAAACCUUGAACGAUUUUAAUUGAACAACUACGAAGAGAAAUACAGAGAAAUUAAAGUGAAUAUCGAUUUAGCGUGCAUAUAAUAGGCCUAUUAGAAUCUUGUAGACUUAUUGCAAAUCAUAUACACAUUACAAAUGUCUCACUAGAUUAACAAGAAUUGUUUAUUUGUUGCGAUGCUUAUAGUAAUUGUAGUUUACUUGCAAACAUUCCUUCUGAAUGACAGUACGUCUGCAUUGAUGAUGGGUUAUUUAGAGCCGAAACUUGGUACGCAUAUAAAUUAUACAGUACCAUUAAAAAAUG